Molecule: long non-coding RNA, 547 nt
Organism: Priapulus caudatus
Lineage: Eukaryota; Metazoa; Priapulida; Priapulimorpha; Priapulimorphida; Priapulidae
Exons: 2
Source: RefSeq, a predicted model, not a curated record
GGCUUUUGAAGCCAUUGCGUAGCGACAAAGAUAUGAAUCACAAUACUGCAAGGCUGCAGCACUCUGCAUCUUUGCCCAAUUUUGGUUGCCAUAGCGACAACAGCAGUAUCCCACCGAUUAGGGUUGGCUCUCCUUCGUCAUACCUUGAUGUUUUACUGCCAGCUUGUGGUGAUCACAAAUCCCAAACGUUUCACAGCACUGAUGCAGACGAGUCUCGAGAUGUGUGGCAGGGGAGGUUUGGAGAGCUAUCACUGAGUCAGGUUUCAUACAGUACUUGUUCAGUGGACGAAGCAAGGCGCACUACCAGAGGAAUCAAUGUGCCAGCGAGUGUACAUAUAUGUAUAUAACAAACUGCAUUACUUUUGCUAUAAGCCAGCAAGAAGACCUAACAUUUCAAGUUUGUGCAGUCCAUGUAUCUAAUGUGAAAUCUGAUCCAUUGUACAAAUGAAGCUAAUGUUGUGCUCUUGUGUCCUUCAUUCGAAAGCAGUCUAAGUCACAUAUGAGGUGUUAGAAGGAAAUUACAAUAAAUUUCAGUAGUACAAUUUUA